Molecule: ribosomal RNA, 254 nt
Filed under: uncultured bacterium
Lineage: Bacteria
Description: partial 16S ribosomal RNA
Rfam family: Bacterial small subunit ribosomal RNA
Source: RNAcentral
UACGUAGGGGGGCAAGCGUUGUCCGGAAUCAUUGGGCGUAAAGCGCGUGUAGGCGGCUCGAUAAGUCUGCUGUGAAAGUUCAGGGCUCAACCCUGAAAUGCCGGUGGAAACUGUCGAGCUAGAGUACGGAAGAGGUGAGUGGAAUUCCUGGUGUAGCGGUGAAAUGCGCAGAUAUCAGGAGGAACACCAAUGGCGAAGGCAGCUCACUGGGACGUUACUGACGCUGAGACGCGAAAGCGUGGGGAGCAAACAGG